GUUUUAUGCAGCAUGUUCCUUUGUCCUCUAAGAUCUAGAGACUUAAAGAAAUUUAGGGCCAUCUUUUCAGCAGGAACACCCCAAAGUGGCAUCAGGCGCCUCCCGCUGAUGGUAAGGAACAUGAGUGGAUUCAGUGCAAGGCUCUUCCCUCCUGACCCCAGGAGGUCUGUGGCUGCCAUUCACUUCACAAGCAAAGCACCCUGGCUGACUCCUGUUAAAGCAGCAGUCUCACUUUCUUGAACCACACUCCUUCGGUGCCUUGGCCCCGGUUCCUCGUCUACGGAAAGGUGCAUCAGCGAGAAGUUGGAUCAGAAAUGUGGAGCAGCUGAGGAUCCAGAGCGGCCUACUGAUGUGGGAUGUGGAUAUCCCACAGAGGUGUUUAACACACUCUGGCACAAUACCUGACCCUAUUUUAAACUAGAUAUUUUUUGCUAAGGUUUUAUUUUUAGCUUUUCAUAUACUCUAGUAUGAACCCUUUGUUAAAUGAAUAGUUUGCACAUAUUUCAUGCCAUUCUGUAGGUUGAUGGUUUCCUUUGCUGUACAGUUUGGCUCCUUUACAAUUCUGGUGGGAAUGUAAAUUAGUACAGCCAUUGUGGAGGACACUAGGGGUUCCUCAAAAGUCGAAACGUAGAAUGCCCAUGAUCCAGCUUCUGGGUAUAUGUUCAUUUCCAAAGGAAACGAAGUCAGCAUGUCGAAGAGCUAUCUGCCCUUUCACGGUGAUCACAGCGCAACUCGCCACAGUCAGCAUAUGGAACCCGCCUGGGUGUCCACUGACAGGUGACUGCAUACAGAAGGUGUGGCUGAUAUGCACCAUGGAAUAGCAUUCAGCCCUGAAAAGGAAUGAACUUCUAUCCUCCGAGGCAAAAUGAAUGCAACUGGAGGACAGUAAGUUAAAUUAGCAAGACACAGAGGGACAGUACUGAAUGCUCUCUCACUUGUGGACGUUAAAGGUGUUGAUCCCAAGGUAGAAGGGAAUAGAAGAGUUCAUUCCUGCACACUAGAAGGGUAGCAGAGACGGGGGGUAAAUAUAAGUUGAAUAACGGGUACCCAAACAACGUCAGACACAGGGAGUAAGUUCUCGUGUUCCACACAGAGUGAGGUGACUACAGUUCCAAAUAAUCUAUAUACUUCACGAAAAACUAAAGGAGAGGGGCUUGAAGGCUCAAAUCCUUUCAGAAAAGGAGACAGAAAUGCCAGUGAACUUAUUUGAUCAGUACACACUACGAAAUACACACUGUGCCAAAUAUGCAUACAAUUGUUACAUGUCAAUAAAAAGAAAAAAAAGCAGAAAAUGUCCGCUCUUCACAGUUUUUGGAGGCACAUAGUAACUGUUGCAGAUUUCGCUCAUUAGCUGUAUAUAUUUUAAGUCGGCAAACUGGGGAAAAAACCAGCUGAAGUCAUCCAUAGCAUUCCAAUCUGACUGAAGUGAAAACAAUAAACUGAUGACAACAUUGAGGAGCCAGAUAUUCCCACCAGUUAAAUCUGCUCCAUAUAUACAGUCUGUAAGAUGGUAUUUCUGUUUUUUCAAAAUGUGCAACAGCAAAUUUGUUCACUGGUACCCAUGCCCAUCUUCCUUUGUUUUUUGGCAAACGGUACAAAUUUCUCUGUGGAAGUCAUUUAUUCCCAGGAAUUUUCCUAUUAAACAUUCAAAUAACAAGAACAGCUGGUCACAACUACUGGGAGACUUUAGGGAGAAAGUAGCAACCUGCAAAGAUGAAUGGCGUUUAUAAGCUGAACUAGCUGCAAUGGUGAUUUUAAUUUCGUAGUAGGUGAGGAACAUUUGUAUUUGGGAGACACAUUCAUUUAUAUGUUUUUCUAUUAUCACACAGAUUCAAGGGUAAUUCUAGGCCUUAUUUUGGAAAGUAAUGAACAUUCUUAUUCAGAAAAUAGGGAAGAAUAAUGCCAUCUAUAACAAAAUUGCUCAUUUUUUCAAAAAGCGAAAACAACUCAUACUCAGUUACAAAUUCUAACUCUGUUUAAUGAAUGUCACUGCUGCACAUUACACAUACGAGAGGACCUGAACGUCAGUGGAAAACAGGAUUAAAAUAUAAGGGUUUUUUCUUGGUUGAGGGGACACACUUUGAAAUCCACACAUGUUUUCUGCAAUAGGUAUUUUCCAUGAACUUUCUGAAGAUCCCUUAUGUGCAUGGAUUUCAAGAUGUUUCUGUACCACAGUAAAUUAUCUUUUAUUUCUAGUACUCCAGGAACUUACUGAAGAACCUGUUUAGGUGACUGGAAUCAUGGCUUAUCACCUUAAAAUGACUCAAAUAUAGAUUGGAGGAUAUCCGGAGCACCAUGAUAUUUUUCUUUUUCAAUCAAAUUUCACAUAUGAGAGAAUUAAACACUAACAUAUUUCCAUCCUUCUACAUACACACAAGUGUAGAACCACGAGGCUGAAUUUUUAACAUGCAAAUUGCAGCUGUUUCCACUCAAUUUAGGGUAGCACUACCACUCACUGAUUUUUUAACUACUGUUCAUUUGAGAGACAGCCAGGGGUCUCCUAUACCUUGGUUCACUAUCCAGAUGCCUACAAUGGCUGGGGUGGGGCCAACUCCAGGAUCUAGAAAUUCAACCCAGGUCUCCCACUCUGAUGGCAGGAACCCAAUCACUUCCUCCAUCACAACUGCCUCUUAGAGUCUGUAUCAGCAGGGAGCUGGAAUUAGAGCCAGAGGCAGGUGCUGAUCCAA
This is a non-coding RNA of Oryctolagus cuniculus (rabbit), 2687 nucleotides long. The record is from RefSeq and is a predicted model, not a curated record. Lineage: Eukaryota; Metazoa; Chordata; Mammalia; Lagomorpha; Leporidae.